UGGGGAAUAUUGGACAAUGGGCGAAAGCCUGAUCCAGCCAUGCCGCGUGUGUGAAGAAGGUCUUCGGAUUGUAAAGCACUUUAAGUUGGGAGGAAGGGCAUUAACCUAAUACGUUAGUGUUUUGACGUUACCGACAGAAUAAGCACCGGCUAACUCUGUGCCAGCAGCCGCGGUAAUACAGAGGGUGCAAGCGUUAAUCGGAAUUACUGGGCGUAAAGCGCGCGUAGGUGGUUUGUUAAGUUGGAUGUGAAAUCCCCGGGCUCAACCUGGGAACUGCAUUCAAAACUGACUGACUAGAGUAUGGUAGAGGGUGGUGGAAUUUCCUGUGUGGCGGUGAAAUGCGUAGAUAUAGGAAGGAACACCAGUGGCGAAGGCGACCACCUGGACUAAUACUGACACUGAGGUGCGAAAGCGUGGGGAGCAAACA
This 427-nucleotide ribosomal RNA is filed under the name uncultured bacterium. RNAcentral describes it as "partial 16S ribosomal RNA". It matches the Rfam family "Bacterial small subunit ribosomal RNA", at positions 355 to 774 of the family's 1533-position model. The record is from RNAcentral.